This 851-nucleotide ribosomal RNA is filed under the name uncultured Bdellovibrio sp. RNAcentral's name for it is "bacterial SSU rRNA". It matches the Rfam family "Bacterial small subunit ribosomal RNA", at positions 110 to 982 of the family's 1533-position model. The record is from RNAcentral. Lineage: Bacteria; Pseudomonadati; Bdellovibrionota; Bdellovibrionia; Bdellovibrionales; Pseudobdellovibrionaceae.
GUAACACGUGAAUUACAUGCCCUAUAGUGGGGAAUAGCCCAGGGAAACUUGGAUUAAUACCCCAUAGUCUCGCAAGAGUAAAGGUGGCCAGCAAUGGCUGUCGCUAUAGGAUUGGUUCGCGCCCUAUCAGCUUGUUGGUGAGGUAACGGCUCACCAAGGCAAUGACGGGUACCUGGUUGAGAGGACGAUCAGGCACACUGGAACUGAGACACAGUCCAGACACCUACGGGUGGCAGCAGUCGAGAAUAAUUCACAAUGGGGGCAACCCUGACGCAGCGACGCCGCGUGAGUGAUGAAGGCCUUCGGGUCGUAAAGCUCUGUCGUAUGGGAAUAACACAAUGAAUGUACCAUGCAAGAAAGGAUCGGCUAACUUCGUGCCAGCAGCCGCGGUAAGACGAGGGAUCCUAGCGUUGUUCGGAAUCAUUGGGCGUAAAGCGGGUGUAGGUGGGCUUCUAAGUCAGAUGUGAAAUCCCAGGGCUCAACCCUGGAAGUGCAUUUGAUACUGGAAGUCUUGAGUGUGGUAGAGGUUACUGGAAUUGUUGGUGUAGUGGUGAAAUACGUAGAUAUCAACAGGAAUACCGGAGGCGAAGGCGAGUAACUGGGCCAACACUGACACUGAGACCCGAAAGCGUGGGGAUCAAACAGGAUUAGAUACCCUGGUAGUCCACGCCAUAAACGAUGGAUACUUGUUGUUAGAGGUAUUGACCCCUCUAGUGACGUAGCUAACGCGUUAAGUAUCCCGCCUGGGGAGUACGGUCGCAAGAUUAAAACUCAAAGAAAUUGACGGGGGCCCGCACAAGCGGUGGACAUGUGGUUUAAUUCGAUGCAACGCGAAGAACUUACCUAGGCUU